CGCGCUUCUGGGGCAUGCUGGCCGACCUGCGUCGCUUCUAUCGGCAAGCGCCGGCGGUGCUGCACAGCCAGGAGCGCUUCAGCACGCUGGGCGCGU
This 96-nucleotide transfer RNA is filed under the name Xanthomonas arboricola pv. juglandis. RNAcentral's name for it is "tRNA-Arg". The record is from RNAcentral. Lineage: Bacteria; Pseudomonadati; Pseudomonadota; Gammaproteobacteria; Lysobacterales; Lysobacteraceae.